Molecule: ribosomal RNA, 479 nt
Filed under: uncultured bacterium
Lineage: Bacteria
Description: SSU rRNA
Rfam family: Bacterial small subunit ribosomal RNA
Source: RNAcentral
AGGAUGAACGCUGGCGGCGUGCCUAACACAUGCAAGUCGAACGUCCUGUCUCGCAAGAGGCAGGGAGUGGCGGACGGGUGAGUACCACGUGGGUUAUCUACCGUGAGGUGAGGAAUACCGGCGAGAAAUCGCCGACAAAACCGCAUAGGCUCGAUGCAAGUCGAGCAAAGCUUUCUCGCAAGAGGGAGCGCCACACGAGGAGCCUGCGCCCGAUUAGCUGGCUGGUGGAGUAAUGGUUCACCAGGGCGACGAUCGGUAGCUGGUCUGAGAGGACGAUCAGCCACACUGGGAUUGAGAACGGCCCAGACUCCUACGGGGGGCAGCAGUGAGGAAUUUUCGUCAAUGGGGCAACCCUGAACGAGCAACGCCGCGUGCAGGAAGAAGGUUUUCGGAUCGUAAACUGCUUUUCGUCGGGGAAGAGAACGGACGGUACCCGAGGAACGAAGCCCCGGCUAACUACGCGCCAGCAGCCGCGGUAA